AGCAGCCGCGGUAAUUCCAGCUCCAAUAGCGUAUAUUAAAGUUGUUGCAGUUAAAAAGCUCGUAGUUGAAUUUCGGGAUUUGUCAGUUGGUCGGGCUUCACUGUCCGUAUUGACUUGAUGGAUUCUUACCUUCUGAAUAACCAGCAUGCUAUUAAGUUAGUGCGUUGGGGAAGCAGAUCUAUUACCUUGAAAAAAUUAGAGUGCUUAAAGCGAGCUAGUGCUUGAAUAGAUUAGCAUGAAAUAAUAAAAUAGGACGGCAUGGUUCUAUUUUGUUGGUUUCUAGGAUCACCGUAAUGAUUAAUAGGGAUAGUUGGGGGCAUUAGUAUUCAAUUGUCAGAGGUGAAAUUCUUGGAUUUAUUGAAGACUAACUUCUGCGAAAGCAUUUGCCAAGGAUGUUUUCAUUAAUCAAGAACGAAAGUUAGGGGAUCGAAGACGAUCAGAUACCGUCGUAGUCUUAACCAUAAACUAUGCCGACUAGGAAUCGGACGAUGUUAAUUUUAUAAUGACUCGUUCGGCACCU
RNAcentral lists this ribosomal RNA (520 nucleotides) under uncultured Acaulospora. RNAcentral describes it as "SSU rRNA". It matches the Rfam family "Eukaryotic small subunit ribosomal RNA", at positions 569 to 1088 of the family's 1831-position model. The record is from RNAcentral. Lineage: Eukaryota; Fungi; Glomeromycota; Glomeromycetes; Diversisporales; Acaulosporaceae.